Molecule: long non-coding RNA, 199 nt
Filed under: Zostera marina
Lineage: Eukaryota; Viridiplantae; Streptophyta; Magnoliopsida; Alismatales; Zosteraceae
Description: long non-coding RNA (ZMAR_LNC006026)
Source: RNAcentral
GGGCGUGGACGAGCAUACUGUUUAGUUUUACCAGCUGAGUUGCCUUCUUAUACCCUUGUCUAGAAUCUUUUUGUGAUCCUUUGACAGUUGCAAUGAUCCCGUUGAUUGGGUAUCAUAUGGAUUGGUGAUAAGAAGACGGGACAGCUUUGAUCCCAUGGAUGAAGGGUCGUCCAAAGAUGCCGUGAAAAGUGGAUUCUAC